UUUAUGGAGAGUUUGAUCCUGGCUCAGGAUGAACGCUGGCGGCGUGCCUAAUACAUGCAAGUCGAGCGAACGGAUGAGAAGCUUGCUUCUCUGAUGUUAGCGGCGGACGGGUGAGUAACACGUGGAUAACCUACCUAUAAGACUGGGACAACUUCGGGAAACCGGAGCUAAUACCGGAUAAUAUUUUGAACCGCAUGGUUCAAAAGUGAAAGACGGUCUUGCUGUCACUUAUAGAUGGAUCCGCGCUGCAUUAGCUAGUUGGUAAGGUAACGGCUUACCAAGGCAACGAUGCAUAGCCGACCUGAGAGGGUGAUCGGCCACACUGGAACUGAGACACGGUCCAGACUCCUACGGGAGGCAGCAGUAGGGAAU
This 372-nucleotide ribosomal RNA is filed under the name Staphylococcus aureus. Its description in RNAcentral is "bacterial SSU rRNA". It matches the Rfam family "Bacterial small subunit ribosomal RNA", at positions 1 to 362 of the family's 1533-position model. The record is from RNAcentral. Lineage: Bacteria; Bacillati; Bacillota; Bacilli; Caryophanales; Staphylococcaceae.